AGGAUCAAACCACGGAGCUACCAGCAGGCUGUGAAAGGCCUUGCUUCAGAGGAUAAUCCUGAACAUGAGGAGACAACAGAGGAGCAGAUGACACAAACCUGCUUUGCAGUGGGGAGGACCUGGAUCAACUAUUGGAUACUGUGGGAAUUGAAAUGGAAAAAUUACAGAGUUGGUUUGACACAAAUAAACUAACACUAAAUUUAAGUAAAACAAAGUAUAUUAUAUUUGGAAACCGUCCGACCAACACAGACAAAAUUCUUACAAUAAAUAAUAUAGAUAUAGAAAGAGUAAAUGAAGUAAAAUUUCUUGGAGUGCUUAUAGAUAAUAAAUUAAGUUGGAAACCACAUAUAAUGUAUAUCAAAUCAAAAAUUUCAAAAUCACUAGCAGUAUUAUAUAAAGCAAAAGACCUUAUAAAUCAGUCAUCAUUAUAUUCCUUGUACUGCUCCUUCAUACUCCCAUACAUUAUGUACUGUGUGGAGGUGUGGGGCAAUACAUACAAAACAAACACAGAUCCAAUCUUCAUUCU
Molecule: long non-coding RNA, 526 nt
Organism: Syngnathus acus (greater pipefish)
Lineage: Eukaryota; Metazoa; Chordata; Actinopteri; Syngnathiformes; Syngnathidae
Exons: 2
Source: RefSeq, a predicted model, not a curated record